GACGAACGCUGGCGGCGUGCCUAACACAUGCAAGUCGAACGGAGAUAUGAUUUCGGUUAUAUCUUAGUGGCGAACGGGUGAGUAACGCGUGAGCAACCUGACCUUCAGAGGGGAGUAACACUUGGAACAGGUGCUAAUACCGCAUAAGACCACGACCCGACAUCGGGAUGCGGUCAAAGGAGCAAUCCGCUGAGGGAGGGGCGUCGCGUCCCAUUAGAUAGAUGGCGGGGUAACGGCCCACCAUGUCGACGAUGGGUAGCCGAGCUGAGAGGCUGAUCGGCCACACUGGAACUGAGACACGGUCCAGACUCCUACGGGAGGCAGCAGUGGGGAAUAUUGGGCAAUGGGCGCAAGCCUGACCCAACAACGCCGCGUGAGGGAAGAAGGCC
RNAcentral lists this ribosomal RNA (389 nucleotides) under uncultured bacterium. RNAcentral describes it as "bacterial SSU rRNA". It matches the Rfam family "Bacterial small subunit ribosomal RNA", at positions 28 to 416 of the family's 1533-position model. The record is from RNAcentral.